Cavia porcellus (domestic guinea pig) is the source of this 646-nucleotide long non-coding RNA. RefSeq lists it as uncharacterized. The transcript has 2 exons. The record is from RefSeq and is a predicted model, not a curated record. Lineage: Eukaryota; Metazoa; Chordata; Mammalia; Rodentia; Caviidae.
GCCAGGGGCACCCGGGUGGCCAAGGCUGCAGCUGAAGUUGGUCCGAGAACCCGCGAAGGCCCCGUGCCGGGGUCGCAGGCAGUCCUCUUAAAGACAGUAGGCCUGUUUGUGGAGUUCAAGAAAGGCCACACGCAGAAGUCCACCAUGGAAAUGUGUAUCAGGAGUAUGUCUAGUGCAACUCAUAGGAGGCGAAACACCUGCAAUGGCCCUUCAGGGGCAGGGCCAGGUCUCUAUAAAGAGGACAAGCACUCCAGAGGGACCCUGUGCUGUUAUCACAGUAGUUUUCCAUAGCAUGUUCUGCAGGUGAAAGGAGACCAUGUGGCCUUGGGGCUGAGAACCAGGAGAACUAACUUACUCCCUGCAGCCACUUUCUGUGGGUGACCCUCAGUGAACUGGGGUUCUCACUUCAGUGUUGGGCAUGAGCGGGAACUGUGAGAGCACUGUCUACAGCACAGCCUGGCCUCAUCAUUCAGCUGGACUGCCUAGUAGUGAGGGUGGCAGUGACUGCCCCACACCAACAGCUGCAGGAUCCUAUCACAGCCUUGCAGGGGAAGGUGACCUUUGGAGGACUGGGAUCUCGGCAUCUCCAUACUUCACAUAACUCACACUGUUGUCUUCAAAGUAAAAUUUAAAACUCAAAAGUAAA